GCAUCUGGGAUUCUGCCCCACCGGGGGAAGGCAGAAGGCCCAAGGGCGGUAAGGCGCUUUCGGCGUUGAGGAAGGUAAAUUCGUUUAUACCUCAUAGAAAUGACGGUACCUUCAGAAGAAGCACCGGCUAACUUCGUGCCCGCAGCCGCGGUAAUACAGAGGGUGCCAGCGUUAUUUGGAAUUACUGGGCGUAAAGCGCGGGUAGGCGGAUGAUUAAGUCAGUUGUGAAAGCCCUGGGCUCAACCUAGGAACUGCAUUUGAUACUGGUCAUCUAGAGUUUAAGAGAGGGAAGUGGAAUUCCAGGUGUAGCAGUGAAAUGCGUAGAUAUUCGGAGGAACAUCAGUGGCGAAGGCGACUUCCUGGCUUAAAACUGACGGUGAGGUGCGAAAGCGUGGGUAGCGAACGGGAUUAGAUACCCCCGUAGUUCCCCCCCUAAACGAUGUCACAUUGGUGUUGGUCUUAUUAAAUAAGAUUAGUAGCGCAGCUAAC
Molecule: ribosomal RNA, 489 nt
Filed under: uncultured bacterium
Lineage: Bacteria
Description: bacterial SSU rRNA
Rfam family: Bacterial small subunit ribosomal RNA
Source: RNAcentral